RNAcentral lists this ribosomal RNA (438 nucleotides) under Wolbachia endosymbiont of Aphis gossypii. Its description in RNAcentral is "bacterial SSU rRNA". It matches the Rfam family "Bacterial small subunit ribosomal RNA", at positions 992 to 1428 of the family's 1533-position model. Lineage: Bacteria; Pseudomonadati; Pseudomonadota; Alphaproteobacteria; Rickettsiales; Anaplasmataceae. The record is from RNAcentral.
CAUACCUAUUCGAAGGGAUAGGGUCGGUUUGGCCGGAUUUCACACGGGUGUUGCAUGGCUGUCGUCGGCUCGUGUCGUGAGAUGUUGGGUUAAGUCCCGCAACGAGCGCAACCCUCAUCCUUAGUUACCAUCAGGUAAUGCUGAGUACUUUAAGGAAACUGCCAGUGAUAAGCUGGAGGAAGGUGGGGAUGAUGUCAAGUCAUCAUGGCCUUUAUGGAGUGGGCUACACACGUGCUACAAUGGUGUCUACAAUGGGUUGCAAGGUGCGCAAGCCUAAGCUAAUCCCUAAAAGACAUCUCAGUUCGGAUUGUACUCUGCAACUCGAGUACAUGAAGUUGGAAUCGCUAGUAAUCGUGGAUCAGCAUGCCACGGUGAAUACGUUCUCGGGUCUUGUACACACUGCCCGUCACGCCAUGGGAAUUGGUUUCACUCGAAGCU